UACUCAUAAAUAAGAAAUUUUGGAUUAGUAAUUAUAAUGAAAUUUAACGGAUUUGGCGGCAAGAUAGCCAUUUAGAGGAACCUGCCCUAUAAACGAUGAACCACGAAAUCCUUACUUUUACUUGUUAUUAAGUUUGUAUACCGCUGUUGUCAGUUAGUUUUUUUAGAAAUCUUUCUUUCAUGAUAAAAUCAGGGACUUCAAGUAAAGGUGCAGCUAAUGUAAAAGAUAGAGGUGGGUUACAUUUAAAAGAAUAAUACGAAUAAAGUUUUUGAAAUAUCUUUUGAAGGUGGAUUUAAAUGUAAAGUUUAUAAAAACUUGAUGAAGGCUCUAUCUUGUGUACAC
Molecule: ribosomal RNA, 342 nt
Filed under: Nobia grandis
Lineage: Eukaryota; Metazoa; Arthropoda; Thecostraca; Balanomorpha; Pyrgomatidae
Description: partial 12S ribosomal RNA
Source: RNAcentral